UUGAUGUAAAAGGCUGGCUAGCGAUA
This 26-nucleotide non-coding RNA is filed under the name Mus musculus (house mouse). Lineage: Eukaryota; Metazoa; Chordata; Mammalia; Rodentia; Muridae. The record is from RNAcentral.